ACGGGUGAGUAACACGUGGCUGACCUACCUCAAAGUAGGGGAUAACGUUCCGAAAGGAAUGCUAAUACCCUAUAAGCUCCCGAUGGUUAGAGGAUUGGGAGAAAAGUUCCGGCGCUUUGAGAGGGGGCUGCGGGCCAUCAGCUAGUUGGUGAGGUAAAGGCUCACCAAGGCGACGACGGCUAGGGGGCCUGAGAGGGUGACCCCCCACACUGGAACUGAGAGACGGUCCAGACUCCUACGGGAGGCAGCAGUGAGGAAUAUUGCACAAUGGGCGCAAGCCUGAUGCAGCGACGCCGCGUGGGUGAUGAAGGCUUUCGGGUCGUAAAGCCCUUUUCUAGGUGACGAGAAUGGACGGUAGCCUAGGAAUAAGUGUCGGCUAACUACGUGCCAGCAGCCGCGGUAAAACGUAGGACACAAGCGUUAUCCGGAGUUACUGGGCGUAAAGGGCGUGUAGGCGGAUCGGUAAGUCUACUCUGAAAGCUCCUGGCUAAACUGGGAGAGGCGAGUGGAGACUGUCGGUCUAGAGUGAGGAAGAGGAAAGUGGAAUUCCGCGUGUAGUGGUGAAAUGCGUGGA
Molecule: ribosomal RNA, 574 nt
Filed under: uncultured bacterium
Lineage: Bacteria
Description: bacterial SSU rRNA
Rfam family: Bacterial small subunit ribosomal RNA
Source: RNAcentral